This 335-nucleotide unclassified non-coding RNA is filed under the name soil metagenome. Its description in RNAcentral is "partial contains 5.8S ribosomal RNA, internal transcribed spacer 2, and large subunit ribosomal RNA". The stretch from base 1 to 120 matches the Rfam family "5.8S ribosomal RNA", at positions 35 to 154 of the family's 154-position model. The record is from RNAcentral.
GAUGAAGAACGUAGCGAAAUGCGAUAAGUAGUGUGAAUUGCAGAAUUCAGUGAAUCAUCGAAUCUUUGAACGCACAUUGCGCCCGCCAGUAUUCUGGCGGGCAUGCCUGUUCGAGCGUCAUUUCAACCAUCAAGCCCCCGGCUUGUGUUGGGGACCUGCGGCUGCCGCAGGCCCUGAAAACCAGUGGCGGGCUCGCUAGUCACUCCGAGCGUAGUAGUUACAUCUCGCUCAGGGCGUGCUGCGGGUUCCGGCCGUUAAAAGCCUUAUUUACCCAAGGUUGACCUCGGAUCAGGUAGGAAGACCCGCUGAACUUAAGCAUAUCAAUAAGCGGAGGA